AACGAACGCUGGUGGCGUGCUUAACACAUGCAAGUCGAGCGGGAAAGUUUCCUUCGGGAAGCGAGUACAGCGGCAGACGGGUGAGUACAACGUAGGUAACCUACCCUCGAGACCGGGAUAACCUGUCGAAAGACGGGCUAAUACCGGAUAAGACCACAAGGGCUGCGGCCUUUGAGGUAAAAGAUGGCCUCUGCUUGCAAGCUAUCACUUGGGGGAUGGGCCUGCGCGCCAUUAGCAGUUGGUGAGGUAACGGCUCACCAAGGCAAAGAUGGCUAGCUGGUCUGAGAGGAUGAUCAGCCACACUGGGACUGAGAUACGGCCCAGACUCCUACGGGAGGCAGCAGU
RNAcentral lists this ribosomal RNA (345 nucleotides) under uncultured bacterium. RNAcentral describes it as "bacterial SSU rRNA". It matches the Rfam family "Bacterial small subunit ribosomal RNA", at positions 29 to 355 of the family's 1533-position model. The record is from RNAcentral.